ACAACAACCAUCAGAUCCCAGCCGUGAAAGCCUUCGAGAAUACAUUUUUUCCCUUUCCCUUUUCUGUGUCAGUCAAGAAGCUGCCCACAAAUGAAGCAGUUCUGGCUGCAGGCAGUUUCUUGAUGGGCACUUCAGAUAAUACAAAGACUUUUUUUUUAAAAAAAAUCUGUGAUGUAGCAUAUCAGUGAUGGUCUAGCAGAGUAAAAAAAAGCCCCCCAAAAGUUCCCCUGCCGAUCUGCCAAGGAGCAGGGGAAGUGUUCAAUUUGUGGAUAUCUCGAAGUGGCUUGCUUAUUAAGCCAGUUCACAAUACCAUAUAUUGACAACAGAAAUACCCAGACUAAAUAGGGUUGCUUGAGGUCUGUAUGCUAUUUGGACCAAAUGGCAUAUUGCACCUCUACCUGAUUUCAAGUGACCUCAUUUAGAUUACACCAGCCCCCUCCAAAAAGGCCAGUGUAGAUGACUCCUAAAUUGUUUAUAUAGAAGGCAACUAGGGGUUCAGUCAUGAGGUAAAUGGAGGAUGAAAUAUCAGGAGUCAAAGGUGGGAAUCCAUCCUGGGCCUGCUCUUUUAAAAAGGUCCUGACUGCUGAGCUCCUUAGAGCUCUUAGAAAUAAGCCCAUUGAAGGGUUUUAUGCUGGGGAAUUUAGCACCAUGAGACCUUGCUUAGGAGUGCCUUUUAUUAUAAAAAGACCUAUUUCUUCUGCUGACUUGCGAAGCACAUCUAAAAGAUACAGAUUUAUACUUCUAUAAAUAAGGCAUGGGAUAUGUUUUCAUUGUCAGGGGACACAGGCUAAACUUAAGAAUUUAUUAAGUCAAGCAUAUAUUGCAAAUUAAACCAGUAAAUAGUAAGCAAGAAAAACCGGUGUUUGAUGUAUGAUGAGGAAUAUGAAAACAUGACCAAUUACCUGAAAACUGCAGGAAAUACUCUUGUAAUGUAGUGUACAUUACAAGAAUGCAGCCAUUAAACACACAGACACACAAAGAAAUCCAAAUUGGGUUGGUGGUUGGCCUGGUUUAUACAUGUAGCAGAAUGCGAUGCACAGGUCUGAAAAACUUUGGUUUGUAUAAACCUUUUAAAUGACAACUCACAGAACCCCACAAUUCUUGGAUUUGUAGUCCAAAAGAAGUAACUUUCUCCAUAUCUGAUCUUCUUUGACUGCUUUCUGGGGCCUUGCCAGCCAAGCCCUCCACCCCUUUCUUUCUUUUGCAGUUCCUCUGCUACAUCAGAAGGGAGAGAUUCUCCUGAGAAUGCCGCAUGUGAAAUACUUAUAUUAAGAAUUUAUAUGAAAAAUGGCCCGGUCCCUUGUGUUCGCAUGCAAAAGACAGUUUAGGCGUGGGAGGCUGAAAUUUUCCGUCAGCUGUUAAGCUUUUUGGGUGGCCUUGGGCGAGUGCUCCCUCCCAGUCUUCCCCUGCCUCAGCCUUUCAAGGUAGUUGUGAAGAUCGAUAAAUGUUUUUAUGUAGGUCACAGCCAUAAGGCUACAUACAGAAAUAUUUUAAAAAAUAAAUGAUGCAUAAUAAUGUUCCAUUGUGAGGCAGCAGCAGAUCAUUUGAAAACUAAGAUGAGGUUUGGCUCAGUUCUGUAAACUAGAAACAACCUCAGCUCUGUAAACUAGAAACGUUAAACACUCUUUUAUUUUCUUUACUGAACAAUACACCUUCAUUUUGAUUUUCAGACUUCAUUUUGCCAGUUUCCUGUUCACACUGACUAUCUGCAGGGAACCCACAAAAAUGGCUAGCAAGAAGUCACCUGCAUCCUUUUCUUUGUUUCCAUGGAACCAAUGCCACAGUAUUAAUACAGAUCAACGGGAGCGACAACCAGUUUAAGUCUCAUGUGUGAGGACAUCCCAAAAAUAGUAACAUGGUUUAGCAACAGAAGCUGAAUAGUCAGCACUGACGUAUGAACUCAAGAGAAGAAGAAAGGAACAUUCCUAACCACACACUUCUUAAUCACAUGUGAACCUUGGGACAUGAAGACUGGUGUCAGCUGUCACUUUCCAGCUGCUUCACUGUCUGGUUUUAAAACAUAAUUACGGAAAUGUGAUUGCAGGAGUAUCCAUAAAGAAAAGUUUGAUAGAUUGCAGAUGGUAAUUAUGGUUACUGUAUAAGGAACAUUAAGUUGGUAAUAGAAAACAUACCAAAAUGGCAGUCUUUUUGUGCAUGUGAGAUGAUGCAGAAGAUCUUAAACAUUAAACUUCCUAAGUAAUUUUGAUGUCAUUCUAUUGUCAUUCCUGACUCUGUACAAUAUCGAGCAUCUGCAGAUGCUGGGGCACAGAUAACCAAGGCAGAGAGAAAUGUUUUGUGGCCCAAAUGCUGAAUAAUUGCCACUAACAAUUGAAACUAUUUCAAGUUUUGUUGAGUCAGGCCAGUCUUAGUGAUUAAUCUGAACAGUGAUUACAAAACCUGGGUGUAACUGAUUUUAUUUAAUUAGAAUUACAUUCAUAUCCCACUUUUAUUCCAGUUAAUUUAAAGCAGUAUAUGUCCUGUUCUCUCCUCUUCAUCCUCACUACAACCCUUGAAAGUAGGUCAACCUGAGAGACAGUGGCUAGUCCAAGGUCACCCCAUGAGGUUUUUUUUAGAGGUUCUUGGGAACUUGCACCAGGCUUUUCCACAUCCCACUUCAGCACCACACUGGCUCUCCAUACCGAUACCAGCUCCCUGGUUUACUAUUUUAGUCUAUUUUAAUUACCAGAUGAAACUGAGAGGCCAUCUCUCUCUUAAGAAGAUCACCAUGGUGAUUCAUCAUUGCUCCCCUUAAAGUCGGAAAGUUACCUUCAUGAUACCUUUGAAAGCAAUGAGUUACAGUGAUGGUUUGAAGGCUGCCAAAAGUACUUACAAUAAAAUUAAUUAUCCAAAAAAAAAAAAACAA
Non-coding RNA from Pogona vitticeps (central bearded dragon), 2863 nucleotides. The record is from RefSeq and is a predicted model, not a curated record. Lineage: Eukaryota; Metazoa; Chordata; Lepidosauria; Squamata; Agamidae.